RNAcentral lists this ribosomal RNA (478 nucleotides) under uncultured bacterium. RNAcentral's name for it is "partial 16S ribosomal RNA". It matches the Rfam family "Bacterial small subunit ribosomal RNA", at positions 28 to 507 of the family's 1533-position model. The record is from RNAcentral.
GACGAACGCUGGUGGCGUGCUUAACACAUGCAAGUCGAACGGGAUUUCGUAAACAGAAGCCUCGGUGGAAGAUUACUAAUGAGAGUGGCGAACGGGUGAGUAACGCGUGAGCAACCUGCCUAUGACAGUGGGAUAGCCUCGGGAAACCGGGAUUAAUACCGCAUAAAAUCGUAGAAACACAUGUUUUAACGGUCAAAGAUUUAUCGGUCAUAGAUGGGCUCGCGUCUGAUUAGCUAGUUGGUGAGAUAACAGCCCACCAAGGCGACGAUCAGUAGCCGGUCUGAGAGGAAGAACGGACACAUUGGAACUGAGACACGGUCCAAACUCCUACGGGAGGCAGCAGUGGGGAAUAUUGCACAAUGGGGGAAACCCUGAUGCAGCGACGCCGCGUGAACGAAGAAGGUAUUCGUAUCGUAAAGUUCUGUCCUAUGGGAAGAUAAUGACAGUACCAUAGAAGAAAGCUCCGGCUAAAUACGUG